RNAcentral lists this ribosomal RNA (253 nucleotides) under uncultured bacterium. Its description in RNAcentral is "partial 16S ribosomal RNA". It matches the Rfam family "Bacterial small subunit ribosomal RNA", at positions 524 to 776 of the family's 1533-position model. The record is from RNAcentral.
UACAGAGGUCUCAAGCGUUGUUCGGAUUCAUUGGGCGUAAAGGGUGCGUAGGUGGCGGGGUAAGUCAGGUGUGAAAUUUCGGAGCUUAACUCCGAAACUGCAUUUGAUACUGCCUUGCUUGAGGACUGGAGAGGAGACUGGAAUUCACGGUGUAGCAGUGAAAUGCGUAGAGAUCGUGAGGAAGACCAGUGGCGAAGGCGGGUCUCUGGGCAGUAACUGACGCUGAGGAGCGAAAGCGUGGGGAGCGAACAGG